GUUUUUUUAGUAUAAAAAGUAUGUUUGCCUUCCAAGCAAGAGGUUUAUAGAAGAUAAAAAAAGCA
Molecule: transfer RNA, 65 nt
Filed under: Nipponnemertes punctatula
Lineage: Eukaryota; Metazoa; Nemertea; Enopla; Monostilifera; Cratenemertidae
Description: tRNA-Gly
Source: RNAcentral